GGCCGCCUGGCGAAAUGGCAUCGCGUCUGACUACGACUUCAUUACGUAAUUUCGCAUCAGGAGAUUGCAGGUUCGACCCCUGCGGUGGUCA
Molecule: non-coding RNA, 91 nt
Organism: Mycena polygramma
Lineage: Eukaryota; Fungi; Basidiomycota; Agaricomycetes; Agaricales; Mycenaceae
Source: the annotation of a GenBank genome assembly